GACGAACCGUACAAACGUUAUUCGGAAUUACUGGGCUUAAAGGGUGCGUAGGCGGCGCGUUAAGUCGGGUGUGAAAUCCCUCAGCUCAACUGAGGAACUGCGCCCGAUACUGGCGUGCUUGAGGGAGACAGGGGUGAGCGGAACUGAUGGUGGAGCGGUGAAAUGCGUUGAUAUCAUCAGGAACACCGGUGGCGAAAGCGGCUCACUGGGUCUCUACUGACGCUGAUGCACGAAAGCUAGGGUAGCGAACGGG
This 253-nucleotide ribosomal RNA is filed under the name uncultured bacterium. Its description in RNAcentral is "partial 16S ribosomal RNA". It matches the Rfam family "Bacterial small subunit ribosomal RNA", at positions 524 to 776 of the family's 1533-position model. The record is from RNAcentral.